Molecule: ribosomal RNA, 501 nt
Filed under: uncultured bacterium
Lineage: Bacteria
Description: bacterial SSU rRNA
Rfam family: Bacterial small subunit ribosomal RNA
Source: RNAcentral
GAUGAACGCUGGCGGCGUGCUUAACACAUGCAAGUCGAACGAAGCAGAUGAGAAAGCUUGCUUUUUUAUUUCGCUUAGUGGCGAACGGGUGAGUAACGCGUGAGUAACCUGCCCUUCAGUGGGGAAUAACAUCGAGAAAUCGGUGCUAAUACCGCAUAACGUAUUUAUGUCGCAUGACAUUUAUACCAAAGGAUUUAUUCGCUGAAGGAUGGACUCGCGUCCGAUUAGAUAGUUGGUGAGAUAAUGGCCCACCAAGUCAACGAUCGGUAGCCGAACUGAGAGGUUGAUCGGCCACAUUGGGACUGAGACACGGCCCAGACUCCUACGGGAGGCAGCAGUGGGGAAUAUUGGGCAAUGGGCGAAAGCCUGACCCAGCAACGCCGCGUGAAGGAUGAAGGUCUUCGGAUUGUAAACUUCUUUGAUUAGGGAAGAAUUUUUGACCUACCUAAAGAACAAGUCACGGCUAACUACGUGCCAGUAGCCGCGGUAAAAGUCACGUCG